CGACCGGGUAGACGCACGCAGGCUGGGAAGGAACCCCCCGGACCACACAGUAGACCCCGCAGGCUACCGGAAUGAACCCCAAGCCGUCCACAACAGGCAGGGGCAGAGGAAACUUUGCCUCCCAAGGGGGCGAUUGGGACCCAGAGACCUGCGGCGACCCCCGGAAGCGGCCAAGAGGCAGAGCGGGACGAGUGACUGGAGACCGGCGAGGAGAGUGGGCGUACCAAUACGUUGACGCGGAACUACAGCAAAGGCAAGGUUUCCUUGCGUGAGGACGCCAUGGAAGUGGGCGAAGCCAGGAUAUGGACCCACUACGUCCGUCGUGACUGUACUCCCACCUUUAGUAUUGGUUACCAACUGGUAUUUUUAGGAUUGACAAGUUGACCGUUUUAAUUUAUA
Molecule: long non-coding RNA, 399 nt
Organism: Nerophis ophidion (straightnose pipefish)
Lineage: Eukaryota; Metazoa; Chordata; Actinopteri; Syngnathiformes; Syngnathidae
Exons: 3
Source: RefSeq, a predicted model, not a curated record